Molecule: ribosomal RNA, 459 nt
Filed under: uncultured bacterium
Lineage: Bacteria
Description: partial 16S ribosomal RNA
Rfam family: Bacterial small subunit ribosomal RNA
Source: RNAcentral
CCUACGGGUGGCAGCAGUGAGGACUAUUGGUCAAUGGCCGGGAGGCUGAACCAGCCAAGUCGCGUGAGGGAAGACGGCCCUACGGGUUGUAAACCUCUUUUGUCAGGGAGCAAGGUGCAGGUCGGGACCUGCUGUGAGAAUACCUGAAGAAAAAGCAUCGGCUAACCCCGUUCCAGCAGCCGCGGUAAUACGGAGGAUGCGCGCGUUAUCCGGAUUUAGUGGGUUUUAAUGGUGACCAGGCGGAGGCACAAGUCCGCGGUAAAAUCGCGGGGCUCAACCCCGCUCCGCCGUUGAAACUGUGUCCCUUGAGUGCGCGAUGGGUAGGAGGAAUGCGUGGUGUAGCGGUGAAAUGCAUAGAUAUCACGAAGAACUCCGAUCGAGAAGGCAGACUACCGGCGCGCAACUGACGCGCAUGCACGAAAGCGUGGGUAUCGAACAGGAUUAGAUACCCCAGUAGUC